AUUGAACGCUGGCGGCAGGCCUAAUACAUGCAAGUCGAACGGUAACAUAAAAGAAGCUUGCUUCUUUUGAUGACGAGUGGCGGACGGGUGAGUAAUAUUUGGGAAACUACCUGAUAGAGGGGGACAACAGUUGGAAACGACUGCUAAUACCGCAUAAAGCCUGAGGGUGAAAGCAGCAAUGCGCUAUCAGAUGUGCCCAAACGGGAUUAGCUAGUAGGUGAGGUAAAGGCUCACCUAGGCGACGAUCUCUAGCUGGUCUGAGAGGAUGAUCAGCCACAUUGGGACUGAGACACGGCCCAGACUCCUACGGGAGGCAGCAGUAGGGAAUAUUGCACAAUGGAGGAAACUCUGAUGCAGCCAUGCCGCGUGUGUGAAGAAGGCCUUC
RNAcentral lists this ribosomal RNA (385 nucleotides) under uncultured bacterium. RNAcentral describes it as "bacterial SSU rRNA". It matches the Rfam family "Bacterial small subunit ribosomal RNA", at positions 30 to 419 of the family's 1533-position model. The record is from RNAcentral.